RNAcentral lists this ribosomal RNA (637 nucleotides) under uncultured bacterium. RNAcentral's name for it is "bacterial SSU rRNA". It matches the Rfam family "Bacterial small subunit ribosomal RNA", at positions 607 to 1244 of the family's 1533-position model. The record is from RNAcentral.
GCUUAACCGAAGAAGUGCAUCGGAAACUGGGUGACUUGAGUGCAGAAGAGGACAGUGGAACUCCAUGUGUAGCGGUGGAAUGCGUAGAUAUAUGGGAGAACACCAGUGGCGAAGGCGGCUGUCUGGUCUGCAACUGACGCUGAGGCUCGAAAGCAUGGGUAGCGAACAGGAUUAGAUACCCUGGUAGUCCAUGCCGUAAACGAUGAGUGCUAGGUGUUGGAGGGUUUCCGCCCUUCAGUGCCGGAGCUAACGCAUUAAGCACUCCGCCUGGGGAGUACGACCGCAAGGUUGAAACUCAAAGGAAUUGACGGGGGCCCGCACAAGCGGUGGAGCAUGUGGUUUAAUUCGAAGCUACGCGAAGAACCUUACCAGGUCUUGACAUCUUGCGCUAACCUAAGAGAUUAGGCGUUCCCUUCGGGGACGCAAUGACAGGUGGUGCAUGGUCGUCGUCAGCUCGUGUCGUGAGAUGUUGGGUUAAGUCCCGCAACGAGCGCAACCCUUGUUACUAGUUGCCAGCAUACAGUUGGGCACUCUAGUGAGACUGCCGGUGACAAACCGGAGGAAGGUGGGGAUGACGUCAGAUCAUCAUGCCCCUUAUGACCUGGGCUACACACGUGCUACAAUGGUCGGUACAACG